UACGGGGGGUGCAAGCGUUACUCGGAAUCACUGGGCGUAAAGAGCAUGUAGGCGGAUUAAUAAGUUGGAAGUGAAAUCCUAUAGCUUAACUAUAGAACUGCUUCCAAAACUGUUGAUCUAGAAUAUGGGAGAGGUAGAUGGAAUUUCUGGUGUAGGGGUAAAAUCCGUAGAGAUCAGAAGGAAUACCGAUUGCGAAGGCGAUCUACUGGAACAUUAUUGACGCUCAGAUGCGAAAGCGUGGGGAGCAAACAGGAUUAGAUACCCUGGUAGUCCACGCCCUAAACGAUGUACACUAGUUGUUGCUAUACUAGAUAUGGCAGUAAUGCAGUUAACACAUUAAGUGUACCGCCUGGGGAGUACGGUCGCAAGAUUAAAACUCAAAGGAAUAGACGGGGACCCGCACAAGCGGUGGAGCAUGUGGUUUAAUUCGACGAUACGCGAAAAACCUUACCUGGCCUUGACAUAGUAAGAACUUUCUAGAGAUAGAUUGGUGCUAGCUUGCUAGAGCUUACAUACAGGUGCUGCACGGCUGUCGUCAGCUCGUGUCGUGAGAUGUUGGGUUAAGUCCCGCAACGAGCGCAACCCACGUGAUUAGUUGCUAACGGUUCGGCCGAGAACUCUAGUCAGACUGCCUUCGUAAGGAGGAGGAAGGUGUGGACGACGUCAAGUCAUCAUGGCCCUUACGGCCAGGGCUACACACGUGCUACAAUGGGAUAUACAAAGAGCAGCAAUACCGCGAGGUGGAGCAAAUCUAGAAAAUAUCUCCCAGUUCGGAUUGUUCUCUGCAACUCGAGAACAUGAAGUUGGAAUCGCUAGUAAUCGUAGAUCAGCAUUGCUACGGUGAAUACGUUCCCGGGUCU
This 860-nucleotide ribosomal RNA is filed under the name uncultured bacterium. RNAcentral's name for it is "SSU rRNA". It matches the Rfam family "Bacterial small subunit ribosomal RNA", at positions 524 to 1381 of the family's 1533-position model. The record is from RNAcentral.